Molecule: long non-coding RNA, 2382 nt
Filed under: Mizuhopecten yessoensis (Yesso scallop)
Lineage: Eukaryota; Metazoa; Mollusca; Bivalvia; Pectinida; Pectinidae
Description: uncharacterized LOC110459666
Source: RNAcentral
GACAAAUCCUAUUUUAAAUAAGGAAGUACCUACUGUGACAGAGUUCGACAGGAUCAGUGAUACUGACAGCCAAAACUCGCUCGACUCGAAUGAAGUCGGUACGGAAGGCCUGGUUCCUGAUUACCAGAGGACAGAGGAGAAGGAGGCGGUGAUGGACAUGUUCACGGAGGACUUCUACCAGCCCGACAGAGACAUAGAUCCUCUUCAGAUGGUGCUAUCAAUGCACGAGAUGGAAAGCAAAGAACGAACUGGUCUUAUGGAAGAGAUGGAAGAGGAAGAGGAUGAUAGAAACUCUCAAUUCGAUUUCGAAAACCCAGGCUUCCAACUGGAAACUACUGAGGUUUAGUGAUGAAUAGUAACUUCUAGUGUGAAACUGCAUAAUCAGAUAUCUUAUACCGUGUGAAAUAAUCAUUUUGUGAUCGAGCAAACUGUUGUUUUAGAUACUCAUCUUUGGAUUAAAUGAAAUCAAUACAUAUUUGUGUUUAGGCUGGCGAUACGCAUGCACUUUAAAGUUUAUUAGUGACUAUCGACAUACAUUGAUCAAUACAAAUAUAUCUCACACGCACGGGGAAUACAAACUUCGCAUUUGACAUUUGCUGGCCGUGAAAUUUUAAGAGUUCUCUCCCCUCUAAUAACAUUGGUUUUAUCACUUACUGUUGUCAUUUCUUGUGUUCUUUUGUUCCUUUAAGUGUGUCAAAAACGAAUUCAGUAAGUUCAAAUUUCCAAUCUUGUGUAUUUCUAUGCGUGUCGUAAAUGCUUGGAUAUUAUUCAAAUUUCCUUUCAUUAAAGUUAUUUGCUUGUAUUUUCGUAUAUAAUUCUUAUCGUAUAAAGAUAGUCAGUGUGUACAUCAACUAUCAUAAGAGCUAAUGUUUAGGUAAGCGUUGUAGACAAAUGCCUGUCAUCACUCUACCAAUUCAUGUCUUAACAUGUAACAUGCUUCGUUAAGUAUGGUCCUUUGCCUGACACAUUGCCACUUCAUGUGUGUAAUAGGUAACAUAAUGUACUUCGUUAAGUGUGUUUUUUUGCCUGACACUUUAUGACUGUACAUGGUAACAUACCCUGUCAUACAAUUUAUAUAGUGAUACAUGUCCGCUAACUAAUGAUGUCAUCAGUUUAUAUGAAGCCUUCAAUGCCGUUCUAAGUCUGUCAAUAUAUGAAGCCUUAUCAAGAUAACAUACAGCCUGUGCGUUGUUCUGUGCCAGUUUCGCAAGAAAUUUUGGAUGCAGCAUGUAGUUGAGCCCGAAUCAGUUUGCAUCAAAUGAAGCCUAAAUAGGUAUUCAGUAGUAUCUAAAAAAAAAUAUUCAAAUGGGACAUAUUUUUUCUUACAAAUGAUUCUUGUUUCUUCAUGUUUGUCUUAUCAAUGAAUGUUGUGUGGUUGGAAGUUUGAUUGAUUGAAAUGAUAUAAAUAAAAAGAUGCAUAUAUAUUGAUAUCCAACCUGGUAAUAUUGUUGUUAUUGUUAUGAUAAUAUUACGUUUAGAAAGCCAUGCUUGUCUUCUCAUAAAUAAUUGCAUGCAUCAAGAAACUGUGCAUCAGAACAUUUAAUUUUAAUAAUGCAUGUCCUGUGUGUUUAAAAUAUUUCAUUGCGUUUCGUUUCUUCCUAACGUUUUGCUUUUUCCAUAUUUCAUUUUUUCAUUAUCUCUCAUGUCUUAAGUAGUUUGUUGUCUAUCGUGUCUUCACUAGAUAUUGUCGUGUUUCCUUACUACAUAAACUCACUAGAUAUUAUCGUGUUUCCUACCUACAUAAACAAUCGUUUCUUCAUCAAUCUAUAUCUGCCCAUAGUAUAUUUUUCUUUUGUUUCUUUAUCAAUAGAUCUUUUGUAUUCAAAAUUGAAAACUCAAAUAAUGAAGCCUAUGACACUGUAUUUUAUAAUAUUAAAAAUAAUAACAAUUGUGAUAUAGAGAAAAACUUUUUUUAUUAAAAAGGACGGAUACGACCAAUAUCAACACUGCAAAACCACUUUUAGGAGAAAAACGACACGAGAAAACGAUUACCAUUCAUAUGUCUGCUAUAAAAAUGUUUAAGACACUGGCGUCAUAUAUGAAAGCAUGUUAUUGUUUUCUUUUAUUGACAAAUUUAAAUCAUGUCAUCCUUUUUGGUGCUUACAUUUCUAGCUAUUUUGCACAAUUUGAUGAUUCAUAUAAUGUCAUUUUGACAUCAGAAUGUAGUUGAAUAACUUUCGUUUUACCUUUAGAACAUAUCAAUGUUGAAUCAGCUUCUUGAAAAUUUGCUGAACUGAACAUCGAGUCAUAUCAAUAUACAUGCCAAAAAGAACGGGAAACUUUUAAAAUUGUUCAUUGAAAAUGGUUAUCGUUAUAGAUGGUUAAUUGAAAUAGCACAAAAUGAUUAUCGUUAUAAAUAGUUAACUGAAACAGCACAAAAUG